UACGGAGGGUGCAAGCGUUAUCCGGAAUCACUGGGUUUAAAGGGUGCGUAGGCGGUGGCGUAAGUCAGUUGUGAAAUUCCCCGGCUUAACCGACGGGACUGCGAUUGAUACUGCGUUACUUGAAUCAGGUUGAGGUAGGCGGAAUGUGACAUGUAGCGGUGAAAUGCUUAGAUAUGUCAUAGAACACCGAUUGCGAAGGCAGCUUGCUGGACCUGUAUUGACGCUGAGGCACGAAAGCGUGGGGAGCAAACAGG
RNAcentral lists this ribosomal RNA (254 nucleotides) under uncultured bacterium. RNAcentral describes it as "partial 16S ribosomal RNA". It matches the Rfam family "Bacterial small subunit ribosomal RNA", at positions 524 to 776 of the family's 1533-position model. The record is from RNAcentral.